Molecule: ribosomal RNA, 406 nt
Filed under: uncultured bacterium
Lineage: Bacteria
Description: partial 16S ribosomal RNA
Rfam family: Bacterial small subunit ribosomal RNA
Source: RNAcentral
AUUGAACGCUGGCGGCAGGCCUAACACAUGCAAGUCGAACGAGUGGCGGACGGGUGAGUAAUGUCUGGGAAACUGCCUGAUGGAGGGGGAUAACUACUGGAAACGGUAGCUAAUACCGCAUACCAUCGGAUGUGCCCAGAUGGGAUUAGCUAGUAGGUGGGGUAACGGCUCACCUAGGCGACGAUCCCUAGCUGGUCUGAGAGGAUGACCAGCCACACGGGACCUGAGACACGGUCCAGACUCCGACGGGAGGCAGCAGUGGGGAUUAUGGCACAAUGGGCCAAAGCCUGAUGCAGCCAUGCCGCGGGUAUGAAGAAGGCCUUCGGGUUGUAAAGUACUUUCAGCGGGGAGGCGUUACCCGCAGAAGAAGCACCGGCUAACUCCGUGCCAGCCGCCGCGGUAAUUC